This 204-nucleotide ribosomal RNA is filed under the name Gallionellaceae bacterium. RNAcentral describes it as "partial 23S ribosomal RNA". It matches the Rfam family "Bacterial large subunit ribosomal RNA", at positions 2731 to 2925 of the family's 2925-position model. Lineage: Bacteria; Pseudomonadati; Pseudomonadota; Betaproteobacteria; Nitrosomonadales; Gallionellaceae. The record is from RNAcentral.
AGUCGUAUCGCCGGGUAGCUAUAUCUGGAAGAGAUAACCGCUGAAAGCAUCUAAGCGGGAAACUCGCCUCGAGAUGAGAUUUCCCCGGGGGUUAAACCCCCCUGAAGGGUCGUGGAAGACCACCACGUUGAUAGGUCGGGUGUGGAAGCGCAGCGAUGCGUUAAGCUGACCGAUACUAAUUGCCCGUAAGGCUUGAUCCUAUAA